This is a long non-coding RNA of Bos taurus (domestic cattle), 389 nucleotides long. The record is from Ensembl. Lineage: Eukaryota; Metazoa; Chordata; Mammalia; Artiodactyla; Bovidae.
GGGGGAAGGCGGUUCCUCUGCAGGCAAAGACCAGCGGCCGAGGACCAGCAGCAGGGCAGCCCUCGCCACCAUCUCCCUUCCUCUCACUCCAACCCCUUACUGCUUCUGGAAUGAAAGGGAAAGUUGGCUGCCAUGUCAUCAGGAUGUUCAAGCAGCUCUGUGGAAGGGUCUACAUGGUAAGGGACUGAAGCCUCCUGCCAACAGCCAUGUGAAUGAACCAUCUUGGAAGCCCAUCUUCCCUCCCCAGACAAGCCUUCAAGUGACCAUGGCCACUGCCAAGGUCUUAACCACGACCUUUUGAAAGACCCUGAGCCAGAACCACCUGACUGAGCUGCCUGAAUUCCUGACCCACAGGAGCUAUGAGAUAAUAAAUUUUUGUUGUUUUAAAU